This 253-nucleotide ribosomal RNA is filed under the name uncultured bacterium. RNAcentral's name for it is "partial 16S ribosomal RNA". It matches the Rfam family "Bacterial small subunit ribosomal RNA", at positions 524 to 776 of the family's 1533-position model. The record is from RNAcentral.
GACGUAGGUUGCGAGCGUUAUCCGGAAUCAUUGGGCGUAAAGCGUUUGUAGGCGGUUAUUUAAGUUGGAUGUUAAAUCCCUGAGCUCAACUCAGGAUCGGUGUCCAAAACUGGGUAACUAGAGACUGGCAGAGGUAGAUGGAAUUCUGUAUGUAGGGGUAAUAUCCGUAGAUAUGCAGAGGAACACCAAAAGCGAAGGCAAUCUACUGGGCCAGUUCUGACGCUGAGAAACGAAAGCGUGGGGAUCAAACGGG